This 339-nucleotide unclassified non-coding RNA is filed under the name soil metagenome. RNAcentral's name for it is "partial contains 5.8S ribosomal RNA, internal transcribed spacer 2, and large subunit ribosomal RNA". The stretch from base 1 to 120 matches the Rfam family "5.8S ribosomal RNA", at positions 35 to 154 of the family's 154-position model. The record is from RNAcentral.
GAUGAAGAACGUAGUGAAAUGCGAUAAGUAGUGUGAAUUGCAGAAUUCAGUGAAUCAUCGAAUCUUUGAACGCACAUUGCGCCCCUCGGUAUUCCGUGGGGCAUGCCUGUUCGAGCGUCAUUUAACCCCUCAAGCCUAGCUUGGUAUUGGGUGCUUGUCCCGCCUCUCGCGCGGCGGCUCACCUCAAAGUCAUUGGCAGCCCGCAUCUCGCCGGCCGUGAGCGCAGCACAGACGCGCUCUUGGCAACGACGGAUCGGCUCUCCAAAAGCUUAUUUCAACCACUGACCUCGGAUCAGGUAGGGAUACCCGCUGAACUUAAGCAUAUCAAUAAGCGGAGGA